RNAcentral lists this ribosomal RNA (86 nucleotides) under uncultured bacterium. RNAcentral describes it as "partial 16S ribosomal RNA". The record is from RNAcentral.
CCCUGUCGGAGGGGAAGAUGCUUGUGCAUGUUAAUAGUAUGCAUAGGUGACGGUACCCUCAAAGGAAGCACCGGCUAACUCUGUGC